GGGUGAGUAACGCGUNNGCAACCUGCCCCUUACNGAGGGAUAGCCUCGGGAAACCGGGAUUAAAACCUCAUAAAGCGAGAAGACCACAUGGGCUUUUCGCCAAAGAUUUAUCGGUAAGGGAUGGGCCUGCGUCUGAUUAGCUAGUUGGUAGAGUAACGGCCUACCAAGGCGACGAUCAGUAGCCGACCUGAGAGGGUAAUCGGCCACAUUGGAACUGAGACACGGUCCAAACUCCUACGGGAGGCAGCAGUGGGGAAUAUUGCACAAUGGGCGAAAGCCUGAUGCAGCAACGCCGCGUGAGCGAAGAAGGCCUUUGGGUCGUAAAGCUCUGUCGAAAGGGAAGAAACAAAUGACGGUACCUUUCGAGGAAGCCCCGGCUAACUACGUGCCAGCAGCCGCGGUAAUACGUAGGGGGCGAGCGUUAUCCGGAAUUAUUGGGCGUAAAGAGUGCGUAGGUGGUCUUGUAAGCGUGGGGUGAAAGGCAGUGGCUUAACCAUUGUAAGCCCUGCGAACUGUGAGACUUGAGUGCAGGAGAGGAAAGCGGAAUUCCUAGUGUAGCGGUGAAAUGCGU
RNAcentral lists this ribosomal RNA (571 nucleotides) under uncultured bacterium. Its description in RNAcentral is "bacterial SSU rRNA". It matches the Rfam family "Bacterial small subunit ribosomal RNA", at positions 104 to 691 of the family's 1533-position model. The record is from RNAcentral.